AAAUUUGAAAUCUGGCGCCUUCGGUGUCCGAGUUGUAAUUUGAAGAAGGUAACUUUGGUUUUGGCUCUUGUCUAUGUUCCUUGGAACAGGACGUCACAGAGGGUGAGAAUCCCGUGCGAUGAGAUGCCCAAUUCCAUGUAAAGUGCUUUCGAAGAGUCGAGUUGUUUGGGAAUGCAGCUCUAAGUGGGUGGUAAAUUCCAUCUAAAGCUAAAUAUUGGCGAGAGACCGAUAGCGAACAAGUACAGUGAUGGAAAGAUGAAAAGAACUUUGAAAAGAGAGUGAAAAAGUACGUGAAAUUGUUGAAAGGGAAGGGUUUGAGAUCAGACUUGGUAUUUUGUAUGUUUUACUCUCGGGUGAGGCCUCUGCAGUUUACUGGGCCAGCAUCAGUUUGGAUGGUAGGAUAAUGACAUUGGAAUGUGGCUCUUCGGAGUGUUAUAGCCCUUGUUGAUACUGCCUAUCUAGACUGAGGACUGCGUCUUUGACUAGGAUGCUGGCAUAAUGAUUUUAAACC
RNAcentral lists this ribosomal RNA (511 nucleotides) under Scheffersomyces coipomensis. RNAcentral describes it as "eukaryotic LSU rRNA". It matches the Rfam family "Eukaryotic large subunit ribosomal RNA", at positions 111 to 646 of the family's 3401-position model. The record is from RNAcentral. Lineage: Eukaryota; Fungi; Ascomycota; Pichiomycetes; Serinales; Debaryomycetaceae.